Molecule: ribosomal RNA, 350 nt
Filed under: uncultured bacterium
Lineage: Bacteria
Description: partial 16S ribosomal RNA
Rfam family: Bacterial small subunit ribosomal RNA
Source: RNAcentral
CCUACGGGAGGCAGCAGUGGGGAAUAUUGGGCAAUGGGCGCAAGCCUGACCCAGCAACGCCGCGUGAGGGAAGAAGGCGGUCGGGUUGUAAACUUCUUUUGUCAGGGAAGAGGAGAAGACGGUACCUGACGAAUAAGCCACGGCUAACGACGGGCCAGCAGCCGCGGUAAUACGUAGGUGGCAAGCGGUGUCCGGAUUUACUGGGUGUAAAGGGCGUGGAGCCGGGUUGACAAGUCAGAUGUGAAAUCCUGCGGCUUAACCGCAGAACGGCAUUUGAAACUGUUGAUCUUGAGUACUGGAGCGGCAGCCGGCAUUCCUAUUGUAGCGGUGAAAUUCGUCGAUAUUAGGAG